This 1521-nucleotide ribosomal RNA is filed under the name Triticum aestivum (bread wheat). Its description in RNAcentral is "partial small subunit ribosomal RNA". Lineage: Eukaryota; Viridiplantae; Streptophyta; Magnoliopsida; Poales; Poaceae. The record is from RNAcentral.
AUGGUUGAGGUUGAUUUCUGGAGCCCAUAUGAUAAAGCCAAGGGAAAACUUCACUCAGUUUGGAUAAAGAUGUGGGGAGUGCCUGACACUCUAAGGCACUACUUAGGGGUGUGUGAGAUUGGCUCUGCUUUAGGACCAGUAGUGGAGGUUGAUGUGGAGCACAUACACUCCCAGGAAGAAAUCAGGGUGAAGGUUGGAGAGAGUGACAUGCACAAAAUUCCAGUAGGGACUGAGAUUACCACUAAAGACCUUUUGCUAUAUGACAUAAACUUUGAGUUUGACUCAGUUGCUGAACAGGGAUGGUACAAGUUUGAUGAGGGGAACAAAAGGAAGAUGUUUGAAUAUCUAGAUCUUGAGAACUUUGAGUCACAAAGAGAGAAUGGCAUGCAAAAGAAAAGCAAACAAGUGGACACUAAAAAACAGGGCAUGAACCUGGGGCAUUUGGGUCUGAAACAUCUCCAAAAAAAAAACAAAGAGACAGCUGCAGUUACAGAAUUGCAAGAGAGGGAAGAGAGCCUGAUGAUCAGGCUACAAAAAGCAGAGGAACUGGCUGUUAGGCAGACUGCGCAACUAAUGUUGGAAGAGAAAAGGAGGAAAGAAUUGGAGCUUAUUAGGAAAACCCUUGAGAAGGAGGUUAAAAGACAGCAUGAGCUACUCCAGAUCAAUCUGAAAGGGGAUGAUGAUGUGAAAGGAUCACAAUCUGGAGAUAAAAGCAGCAAUGAAGAGGAAGAAGUAGAAGCCAUUGAUGAAGAUAUGGGAGUGGAGGACAAACAGGAAGAGGGGGGAGAUAUGAUAGAGCAAGAAUUGAUUGAUCAAGACAUUGGGCUGGGAUAUGUGGAGCCAGUGGAUUACACAGCUAGUCAAGACACAGACUCAUUUGAGACUAAGAUUAAAAAAGCUGGGAAGGGGGAGGCUGUACUGAAAGAUGAAGAGGAGCUGAGAAGAUGCCUUAGGUUAAAGGGAAAAGAAGAUCGUAACAUUACAAAACUGGCCAGGGAGAGGGCAGCAAAGAAAGAUAACUAUGGUGAGUUACCUUGUAUUGGAAGCUUUCCUAAAUCUAACAGUUUAUUGCAAAAGGUUGCUGAGGGGAAACACGAUAUGCUGCCUGAGGGAAAUGAGAUCAUUGACACUGGGAAACAUACCCUGGAAGAUUUACUAGACCAGGGAGAUGAGGAGGGAGAUAGAAAGGAUGAUGAGGAUUGGGAAAUAGUUAGAGAAUUUUUCUCAUCAAAAAAGGGGGGAAGAAGGACAAAACCACCAGAGGAGAUGGAGGUAACACCAGAUUCUGGGAAGACUGGUGGAUUGGAUCUGCACCACUUUGUAAAAAAAUUCCCAGUAAAUGAUCCUUGUAUACCUGUCAACUUACUACUCAAGAACUUAUAUGAUUGGAACAUCUUGCAGAAAACCCCCGUAAAAAAUAAGAUGAUGGAGGUAGGAGUGAAGCAGAUCGGCGACGUAGCUGAAGAAGUGUUCAAGGCAGUCCAUGGAUGGCAUCUGGAGACCAGAAGAAUUGUGGGAUAA